UACGAAGGGGGCUAGCGUUACUCGGAUUGACUGGGCGUAAAGGGCGCGUAGGCGGUUGGUACAGUCAGACGUGAAAUUCCUGGGCUCAACCUGGGGGCUGCGUUUGAUACGUGCUGUCUGGAGUUCGGAAGAGGGUCGUGGAAUUCCCAGUGUAGAGGUGAAAUUCGUAGAUAUUGGGAAGAACACCGGUGGCGAAGGCGGCGACCUGGUCCGAUACUGACGCUGAGGCGCGAAAGCGUGGGGAGCAAACAGG
Molecule: ribosomal RNA, 253 nt
Filed under: uncultured bacterium
Lineage: Bacteria
Description: partial 16S ribosomal RNA
Rfam family: Bacterial small subunit ribosomal RNA
Source: RNAcentral